This 455-nucleotide ribosomal RNA is filed under the name uncultured bacterium. RNAcentral's name for it is "bacterial SSU rRNA". It matches the Rfam family "Bacterial small subunit ribosomal RNA", at positions 923 to 1379 of the family's 1533-position model. The record is from RNAcentral.
GCACAAGCGGUGGAGCAUGUGGUUCAAUUCGACGCAACGCGAAGAACCUUACCCAGGCUUGAACUGCGAGUGACAACCUACGAAAGUAGGCUUCCGCAAGGACGCUCGUAGAGGUGCUGCAUGGCUGUCGUCAGCUCGUGUCGUGAGAUGUUGGGUUAAGUCCCGCAACGAGCGCAACCCUUGUCUUCUGUUGCCAUCGGGUUAUGCCGGGCACUCUGAAGAGACUGCCGGUGACAAACCGGAGGAAGGUGGGGAUGACGUCAAGUCAGCAUGGCCUUUAUGUCUGGGGCCACACACGUGCUACAAUGGCCGGUACAAACCGUCGCGAGCCCGCGAGGGGGAGCUAAUCGGAGAAAGCCGGUCUCAGUUCGGAUUGUAGGCUGCAACUCGCCUGCAUGAAGUUGGAAUCGCUAGUAAUCGCGGAUCAGCACGCCGCGGUGAAUACGUUCCCGGGC